RNAcentral lists this ribosomal RNA (253 nucleotides) under uncultured bacterium. RNAcentral describes it as "partial 16S ribosomal RNA". It matches the Rfam family "Bacterial small subunit ribosomal RNA", at positions 524 to 776 of the family's 1533-position model. The record is from RNAcentral.
UACGGGGGGUGCAAGCGUUGUUCGGAAUUAUUGGGCGUAAAGGGCUCGUAGGCGGUCCGUCACGUCGGGAGUGAAAACUCGGGGCUCAACCCCGAGCCUGCUUCCGAUACGGGCGGACUAGAGGUAGGUAGGGGAGAACGGAAUUCCUGGUGUAGCGGUGAAAUGCGCAGAUAUCAGGAGGAACACCGAUGGCGAAGGCAGGUCUCUGGGCCAUAACUGACGCUGAGAAGCGAAAGCGUGGGUAGCAAACAGG